AUUGAACGCUGGCGGAAUGCUUUACACAUGCAAGUCGAACGGCAGCACGGACUUCGGUCUGGUGGCGAGUGGCGAACGGGUGAGUAACAUAUCGGAACGUAUCCAAUAAUGGGGGAUAACUAAUCGAAAGGUUGGCUAAUACCGCAUACGCCCUACGGGGGAAAGCAGGGGAUCUUCGGACCUUGCGUUAAUGGAGCGGCUGAUAUCUGAUUAGCUAGGUGGUGAGGUAAAGGCUCACCAAGGCGACGAUCAGUAGCUGGUCUGAGAGGACGACCAGCCACACUGGAACUGAGACACGGUACAGACUCCUACGGGAGGCAGCAGUGGGGAAUUUUGGACAAUGGGCGCAAGCCUGAUCCAGCCAUUCCGCGUGAGUGAAGAAGGCCUUCGGGUUGUAAAGCUCUUUCGCAAGGGAAGAAAACUUACUUUCUAAUAAAGAGUGAGGUUGACGGUACCUUGAUAAGAAGCACCGGCUAACUACGUGCCAGCCGCCGCAGUAA
This 500-nucleotide ribosomal RNA is filed under the name uncultured bacterium. RNAcentral's name for it is "partial 16S ribosomal RNA". It matches the Rfam family "Bacterial small subunit ribosomal RNA", at positions 30 to 523 of the family's 1533-position model. The record is from RNAcentral.